Molecule: transfer RNA, 72 nt
Filed under: [Clostridium] ultunense Esp
Lineage: Bacteria; Bacillati; Bacillota; Tissierellia; Tissierellales; Tepidimicrobiaceae
Also listed under: 2 other names
Rfam family: tRNA
About the family: Transfer RNA (tRNA) molecules are approximately 80 nucleotides in length. Their secondary structure includes four short double-helical elements and three loops (D, anti-codon, and T loops).
Source: Rfam by way of RNAcentral
GGCCCUAUGGUCAAGCGGUUAAGACACCGCCCUUUCACGGCGGUAACCCGGGUUCGAGUCCCGGUAGGGUCA